AGCCAACCAUUUUGCAAUAAGGCAAGCUUUAUAGCGGUCCACAGUACCAUCAAUUUUUGUUUAAUCUUGUAUACUCAUUUACAACUGUUAUCAGAGUUACCAUGAGGCAAAUCAAUCAAUCUCAAGUAUGAUAUUUGUCUAAAACUUGCAACUCGUCUACCAUUGCUCGUUGUCAAAGAGGAUUAAUGUAAUGUAUUCACAUUACCAAAUGAAGAGUACAAGCCCCCCAUUAUAUAUAAAUUGAGAAGGCAAUCGGGUGUAAUUGCAAUUGAUGUAAACUACAACUAGCGAAUCUCAAAUGUACAUUCUAACGCGGUUUUCUAUCGAGGGCGAGCUUCGCGUCCGCCAGCCUUGUCUCUCUUGAAGCUGACAACUGAAGAGACGUACAGUAUUACACAUAAGAGGCCAUGAACAAAGCAUAGACCUCCGCCGAUCAACAGGAAAUGGGGAUGCAAGAACCUGCACGACCCUUGCAAUUUCAAGUUCUCUAACAUGCCGAAGACCAGCAUCGGGAAUCCAACGGCUGCGACGAUCCUGUCGGUUCAGCAACGUACUUAGAGCUUUGCUUCAGACAGCUCCAAAGUGAAAAAUCAACUGGGGUCCAAAAACUAAAUAGUAAAAUCUCCAGGGGAGAUCUCUAAGGAUCUGGUAUUUAAUAUACGAAGUGCUUUCCGUUUAUUUAUAGGGUAAAAGCAAGAAACAUGGGCAUUUCAAAAGGAUCUAGCACAUGGACAAUAAGAGGUGAGCACAUCUGGACAGAAAGCCGAUCGGAACCAAACUAUUUUAAUAUGGUUGAGAAAAAUAAAAUAAAAUCGAACCACAGUGUAAUUCAAACAGAAACCAAAUCAAAACCCUUUUUCGCAUACCAUACCAUUUUCCUCUUGUGUAUCUUUUCUUAUUUUUCGUUAAUUUUAUGAAUGUGAAUUCGCUGAAAAUAGCUUAAAAAGGGCGUUAGCUUCAGGAAGAAAUUAAACUCUAUGCUCACAAGAGAUCAAGCUCUUCUCUCUGAUCUGAUGGUUUCUAUUACCCAACCCUCCUUGUUGUGUUGAAAGUGUAAAAACUCAAAAUGAUAUCUACUCCGUAUAUGUGUGAAGGGAAGUGAUUCUUUACUUUCAAUCCAAAGAUCAUAGCUAUGCUGCCCAUAAAAUAAAAUCUUAGCAAGAAGAGCUGGGUCUCUUCAAAAAUAAAUGACAUAAAUAUAGGUAAAACGAUUCAAUUCUUGAGUUCUGCAAAGACCAUUUCGAUUUGAGUGACGAACCUCUUAGUUUUCCUUUCAAAAUCCUCUUGAAUCAAAGGUUCUAGGAAUAGUUAGGUUCGAGAUUCGAGGUUCGACCUGGUUCGUCUUUUGAACCAUUUAUGGGUUACCCUCCAUAGUCGAACAACGAAAAGAUCUUGGCUGGACUCAAAAGGUUAAGCGAUCUGAAGUGUUGAAUGGUAAGUUUCCAUGUGGAACCAAUGUAUCUACAGCUCAAAUGAGUCCGUAGUAAGAACCUCAACAUGAUCACUAGGGGACAGUGAGUAUGGUUUGAGUGGGCGGUUCCUAUCCUAGAACCAAAAAUUGCCCGUUAGUUUCGUAGACCCAUCGACAAACCGGACUGACAAUCCGAUUCUUGAGUGGGUCCAUCCAACCAAUCCCACCAAGCUAAGCUGGACAAAUUAGAAAAUGGCAAGAGAAAGAACCCAGAACAAGAAACUCGGUUUUGCAGAGUGAGAAUAAUCUUGACGUCCAAGUGUAAUCUGAAAGCAAUUUGUCAUAUAGCAAGACAGAGAAAUAUAGUCUCCUAGCAGCAUAUCAAAGUGUUGAAGGUCUCUAAAGUCUUAAACUGUCUACACGAAGCUGGUCAAUUGCAGUAACGACAUCCAUAGCAAAGCCUCCAAAGCUCUUAUACAACGACUUGUAAACAGCAAUGCUGAAGAUAGAAAUUGAGAUCUUAACAUAAAAAAGUAAUGAAUCAUUUUUUGCUGGAGGUGUAAGUCGAUCUUUGAAUAAAGCAGACAAACAGAGGCAAUUGUCAUUUACUAGUGCAUAAUAAUCACUUUCAAUAAUGAAAUAAAUAAAUAAAUCAAAUGAAUAGAGAGAUAUAAUGCAGAGUACAACCAACAAAAGAAUACCUUUUUAAAAA
Molecule: long non-coding RNA, 2123 nt
Filed under: Eucalyptus grandis
Lineage: Eukaryota; Viridiplantae; Streptophyta; Magnoliopsida; Myrtales; Myrtaceae
Description: long non-coding RNA (EGRA_LNC007749)
Source: RNAcentral